This 59-nucleotide microRNA precursor is filed under the name Panagrellus redivivus. RNAcentral describes it as "microRNA prd-mir-46 precursor". Its record names the gene prd-mir-46. It matches the Rfam family "mir-46/mir-47/mir-281 microRNA precursor family", at positions 15 to 72 of the family's 85-position model. Rfam says of the family: The hairpin precursors (represented here) are predicted based on base pairing and cross-species conservation -- their extents are not known. In this case the mature sequences are expressed from the 3' arms of the hairpin precursors. The record is from miRBase by way of RNAcentral. Lineage: Eukaryota; Metazoa; Nematoda; Chromadorea; Rhabditida; Panagrolaimidae.
AAGAGAGCCAUCUGUUGACAGUUUGCCUUUGAAAUUACUGUCAUGGAGUUGCUCUCUUA